CAUUUGGCUUAGCUGUCACCAGUCUUAUUAGCUGGUGACUGGAACUUGAUUUGAUACCUGAUCUCAGGGGCCAGGGGUGCAGAGGUGACGGUAUUCAUGGGACCCAUGGAAACUGGAGCUGGAACAGACAUCAGCUUGUCCAGCCUCAACGUUUUGCAGCAAAAACUGAGACCCAGAGGAAUAAAAGCAGUUACUUAAGGUCACAGAGUAAGGAUUUGAACCCAGGUCCUAUGACUUGAAAUAAAGUAUGUUUCUACUAUA
Molecule: non-coding RNA, 261 nt
Organism: Phascolarctos cinereus (koala)
Lineage: Eukaryota; Metazoa; Chordata; Mammalia; Diprotodontia; Phascolarctidae
Source: RefSeq, a predicted model, not a curated record